GAUUCUGCCCUACGGGGAAGGAUGAGAAGCUUCGACCAAGGUUCGACUCGAGCGUAGCGAGAGAACGUUGCCGCAGGCAACGGCCCGAAGGGCGAGGAGCGAUAGCGACGAGUUAUCCUUCCCCCACCACCA
Molecule: small RNA, 132 nt
Filed under: Klebsiella sp.
Lineage: Bacteria; Pseudomonadati; Pseudomonadota; Gammaproteobacteria; Enterobacterales; Enterobacteriaceae
Also listed under: 4 other names
Description: RtT sRNA
Rfam family: RtT RNA
About the family: This family represents a bacterial cis-regulatory element known as RtT RNA. The exact function of RtT is unknown although it is thought that it may be involved in changing the cellular response in relation to amino acid starvation.
Source: RNAcentral